This 230-nucleotide ribosomal RNA is filed under the name uncultured bacterium. Its description in RNAcentral is "partial 16S ribosomal RNA". It matches the Rfam family "Bacterial small subunit ribosomal RNA", at positions 562 to 791 of the family's 1533-position model. The record is from RNAcentral.
AAAGCGUGCGCAGGCGGUAAUGUAAGACAGAUGUGAAAUCCCCGGGCUCAACCUGGGAACUGCAUUUGUGACUGCAUGGCUAGAGUACGGUAGAGGGGGAUGGAAUUCCGCGUGUAGCAGUGAAAUGCGUAGAUAUGCGGAGGAACACCGAUGGCGAAGGCAAUCCCCUGGACCUGUACUGACGCUCAUGCACGAAAGCGUGGGGAGCAAACAGGAUUAGAUACCCGAGU